Molecule: ribosomal RNA, 408 nt
Filed under: uncultured bacterium
Lineage: Bacteria
Description: bacterial SSU rRNA
Rfam family: Bacterial small subunit ribosomal RNA
Source: RNAcentral
AACCCUUGACAUCCCUAUCGCGAUUUCCAGAGAUGGAUAUCAUCAGUUCGGCUGGAUAGGUGACAGGUGCUGCAUGGCUGUCGUCAGCUCGUGUCGUGAGAUGUUGGGUUAAGUCCCGCAACGAGCGCAACCCUUAUCAUUAGUUGCUAACAUUUAGUUGAGAACUCUAAUGAGACUGCCGGUGAUAAACCGGAGGAAGGCGGGGACGACGUCAAGUCAUCAUGGCCCUUAUGGGAUGGGCUACACACGUGCUACAAUGGGGGGUACAAAGAGCAGCCAACUGGCGACAGUGCGCGAAUCUCAUAAAACCUCUCGUAGUCCGGAUCGGAGUCUGCAACUCGACUCCGUGAAGUCGGAAUCGCUAGUAAUCGUGAAUCAGAAUGUCACGGUGAAUACGUUCCCGGGCCU